Molecule: ribosomal RNA, 525 nt
Filed under: uncultured archaeon
Lineage: Archaea
Description: bacterial SSU rRNA
Rfam family: Archaeal small subunit ribosomal RNA
Source: RNAcentral
GCCACCUGGGAAAGUACGGUCGCAAGGCUGAAACUUAAAGGAAUUGGCGGGGGAGUACCACAACCGGUGGAGCCUGCGGUUUAAUUGGAUACAACGCCGGGAAUCUUACCGGAGGGGACAGCAGUAUGAAGGCCAGGCUAAAGACCUUGCCAGAUCAGCUGAGAGGAGGUGCAUGGCCGUCGCCAGUUCGUACCGUGAGGCAUCCUGUUUAGUCAGGCAACGAUCGAGACCCGCAGUCUUAUUUGCCAGCAUGCCCUUUGGGGUGUAUGGGUACAAUAAGACGACCGCCAGCGCUAAGCUGGAGGAAGGAGCGGGCUACGGUAGGUCAGCAUGCCCCGAAUCCUCCGGGAUACACGCGGGCUACAAUGGUCAGGACAAAAGGUACCGACCUCGAAAGAGUGAGGUAAUCCACAAACCUGAUCUCAGUCCGGAUCGAAGGCUGCAACUCGCCUUCGUGAAGAUGGAAUCGGUAGUAAUCGUGACUCAAAAUGUCACGGUGAAUAUGUCCCUGCUCCUUGCACACAC